CAUACACCACACCAGCAGUAAUAAACUCACUUUUACAAAGAUGUAGGCUAUAGAUGCUGGGUUCAGUGGUUCUAAUCAGAUUGUGUUUAUGGAUUUUUACAAGAUCAAGGUCACGGUGGCCACCAGAUCCAGUCUGUAUCCAGAUCAGAGGGUCACUGCAGUCACCCGGAUCCAGUUCGUAUCCAGACCAGAUGGUGGAUCAGCACCUAGAAAGGACCUCUAUAUCCCUGAAAGACAGCGGAGACCAGGACAACUAGAGCCCCAGAUACAGAUCCCCUGUAAAGACCUUGUCUCAGAUGACACCGGGUUUCACCAACCUGGUUUCUCCCAAAGUUUUUUUCUGCAUUCUGUCACCGAUGGAGUUUCGGUUCCUUGCCGCUGUCGCCUCUGGCUUGCUUAGUUGGGGUCACUUCAUCUACAGCGAUAUCAUUGACUUGAUUGCAAAUAAAUGCACAGACACUAUUUAAACUGAACAGAGAUGACAUCACUGAAUUCAAUGAUGAACUGCCUUUAACUGUCAUUUUGCAUUAUUGACACACUGUUUUCCUAACGAAUGUUGUUCAGUUGCUUUGACGCAAUGCAUUUUGUUUAAAGCGCUAUAUAAAUAAAGGUGACUUGACUUGACUUGACUUAAUGGCUGCUUCAGAUUCAGCUUUGCCAUCACUGGAAUAAAUUACAUUUCAAAAUA
This is a long non-coding RNA of Carassius gibelio (silver crucian carp), 688 nucleotides long. RefSeq lists it as uncharacterized. NCBI's taxonomy places the organism in Eukaryota, Metazoa, Chordata, Actinopteri, Cypriniformes, Cyprinidae. The transcript has 2 exons. The record is from RefSeq and is a predicted model, not a curated record.